This 23-nucleotide non-coding RNA is filed under the name Cricetulus griseus (Chinese hamster). Lineage: Eukaryota; Metazoa; Chordata; Mammalia; Rodentia; Cricetidae. The record is from RNAcentral.
UUGUCAUGGAAAUGUAAGAGUGG